Molecule: ribosomal RNA, 187 nt
Filed under: uncultured rumen bacterium
Lineage: Bacteria
Description: partial 16S ribosomal RNA
Rfam family: Bacterial small subunit ribosomal RNA
Source: RNAcentral
CCUACGGGAGGCAGCAGUGAGGAAUAUUGGUCAAUGGACGCGAGUCUGAACCAGCCAAGUCGCGUGCGGGAAGAAGGCCCUCCGGGUCGUAAACCGCUUUAGCCGGGGAGUAACGUGGGGGACGCGUCCCUCAGUGAGAGUACCCGGAGAAUAAGCAUCGGCUAACUCCGUGCCAGCAGCCGCGGUA